AUUCCAGCUCCAAUAGCGUAUAUUAAAGUUGUUGCAGUUAAAAAGCUCGUAGUUGGAUUUCUGGGAGGGUGGCGAUGUCCGCUUAACGUGUGUGCAGCGGCGCCCUUCCAUCCUUCUGUUAGCGUCUCUUGGCAUUCAUUUGCUGGUGGCGGGCUCAGAUAUUUUACCUUGAGAAAAUUAGAGUGUUUCAGGCAGGCUAGGCCGGAAUACAUUAGCAUGGAAUAAUGGAAUAGGACUACGGUCUCUUUGUUGGUUUGAGGGACUGGAGUAAUGAUUAAUAGGGAUAGUUGGGGGCAUUAGUAUUUAAUUGUCAGAGGUGGAAUUCUCGGAUUUGUUAAAGACUAACUUAUGCGAAAGCAUUUGCCAAGGAUGUUUUCAUCG
RNAcentral lists this ribosomal RNA (381 nucleotides) under Spirotrichea sp. Its description in RNAcentral is "partial small subunit ribosomal RNA". It matches the Rfam family "Eukaryotic small subunit ribosomal RNA", at positions 582 to 975 of the family's 1831-position model. Lineage: Eukaryota; Ciliophora; Spirotrichea. The record is from RNAcentral.